This is a long non-coding RNA of Hemicordylus capensis (graceful crag lizard), 5169 nucleotides long. RefSeq lists it as uncharacterized. Lineage: Eukaryota; Metazoa; Chordata; Lepidosauria; Squamata; Cordylidae. The transcript has 7 exons. The record is from RefSeq and is a predicted model, not a curated record.
CACUAUUUAUUUACAAAUAUACUAGCGGGAAAACAGCUGAAGCCAAGUUCACCUUCCUGUCCUAAAUAGGGGAAAUAGCUGCUUCAGGGGAGAUAACAGCUGAGGUGGGGGGGUGAUUUUUUUUUUUUGGCGGGAAAACAGUCUGAGGUGAAAAGAGUCCUGAACAGCAUCUUCAGGGGGAGAUUCUGCUGAGAGGCAGUUUUUGGCAGGAAAACAGCUGAAGCCAAGCGAGUUCACCUUCCCCUCCGUGAACACUGUGGUCCCGAUCAGGCGAAGAUCCAUUAAGGCUCUUUAUUUUUAAAAUGACAGAAGAGGAGCGUCUGCUCCUCAGCAUGGCUCUUCAGCCUGUGAUUAGCUGAAGCAUGGUUGUUUGAUACAUAGUGGCCAACUUAUUUAAUUUAAUUCAUUAAUUAAUUUAUUAUUUUAUUUUUUACAUUUUAUAUCCCGCUCUACCGCCAAGGAGCCCAGAGCGGUGCGCUACAUACUUAGGUUUCUCCUCACAACAACCCUGUGAAGUAGGUCAGGCUGAGAGAGAAGUGACUGGCCCAGAGUCACCCAGCUAGUAUCAUGGCUGAAUGGGGAUUUGAACUCGGGUCUCCCCAGUCCUAGUCCAGCACUCUAACCACUACACCACGCUACACCACGCUGGCUUAUUUGACAAAAUGGCUCCCGCCUUCUCGAAGCACCUGACCAUUUUCAGGUUAUAGGCCUGAUAUAUGGCUGGGGGAGAGCUCAUUCCUUUUCUGACAGAGCCUUUAAACCAUAAAACAGCUGUUUUUCAUUUUAGCUGGAUAUUUUAUAUUCUUUUAAAACCAACUGCCUUCAGGAUGGGGCGAGUUACAGGUUUAGGCAGAGGAAUAAAAUAAAACGAGAGGGAAACAUUCAACAGCUGCCGCUUUUUGCCUUCACAGAGCUGUCACGAAGACUGCACCUGUUGACCUUCCUGCUGAUUUCGGUACAGAGUCAGAAACUCGGCACUUCUGUGAAAGAGAUCUUCUAACGAGACGGACUACGGGGAAUUUCCUUUUUCUGUAUCAGCCUUAAAUACUCGGCGAGUUUUUAUUUGCAUGUGUGUGCAUGCUUGUGUUUUAUGGAGGAACAUUGCUAGGCCGUCCAGGCAAAACUGCCGAACGGCUGGCAAUGCUCAAAGGAAAGUAGGAAAUGGACAAGGCGGAUGGAGUUGCUGAGGUAGGCAAGCUGGCCAGCAAGGCUGACUCUCGAGAUCUCCGGGGAACCGUCUUUCUUGGAGGCUGGCCCCUGUGUGUUUUGGAUUCUCCUCAUAAGAGAUGGCUGCUUCUGCGGUUUUUCUGGUUGGAAUACAGCUGACGAAAGACACAGUGGCUUGUGAUUUAUCAGCCCACCAUGCUCAUGCGCGGGACUGGAGAAGAGAGAACUGCCUCGUUUCUUUCACAGUCAGCUCCUGUGAUGUUCCUGGGUGUGCCUAAGAGAGAUGAUGGAUGGCCACCAUGUUGGGGGCAGAUGGAGUGUGCCUGGGGUUCACCAAGAGCACUGAGCUGUCCAAUCUGCUGACGGAUGAAGCGUGUCCAGCCCAUGAGGGAUGACACCUCCAGCGGCCUAGCCUCCCCCACGUCUCCCCUCCUACCCUGCGGCUGUCACGCUGGGGCGGCGAAGGUGAUGGAGCGUGUCCGCUGUGCGAAGGACGUCAUUGCCUUGUGCUGUGCGGGAGCUUUUGCUGAUGGGCCAUCUUUCUUCCACCCCCGGCAUCUUUUCCACUCCCUGGGCCAGAUCCACACUGGAUGUAAACCACCAAUGCGCAUUCCGAUUGAUUCAAGUCGAGCCACAACAGUCUGCAGGGAAGGUUUAGUUCACCCCCUGUGUUUUCUUUCUGUCUGUACAAAUGCGAUAUAGCCAAGCUGACCUCCUCCACGAGUGCUUCAGAGCCAUCAGCUGUGUUGAAUCACCCUGCAAUAUAGGCAGCAUGGUCCUGCUCAAAAACCUAGCUGUUUUAAUGCCGUAAAGUGCUUCUUUGGUACAGGAUAGGAACACAGGAAGCUGCCUUCUACUGCCGAAUCAGACUAUUGGUCCAUCUAGCUCAGUAUUGUCUACCCAGACUGGCAGCAGCUUCUCCAAAAUUACAGGCAGGAGUUUCUCUCAGAAGAGAUGCCAGGGAGGGAAUUUGGAACCUUCUACAUGCAAGCAUGCAGAUGCUCUUCCCAGGGUGGCCCCAUCCCCUAAGGAGAAUAGUCUCCCAUUCAAAAGCAGACCAGGGUAGACUCUUCUUAGCAAAGGGGACAAUUCAUGCAUGCUACCACAAGACCUAUUGUUAGUUAACUCUGAAGUCAUUCUCAGUACCUGUUAACUGGGCAAAGAGGCACCUUUUUAAAGUGGUGGUUAGCUUUAUUGAGCGGAGGAGAGCAAUAAAGCCCUCUCCACCCCCAGCACAGUACCCAUCCUGUGACUGUUGCUGGUGUCUAUCUUAUGUUUCUUUUUUAGAUUGUGAACCCUUUGGGGACAGGGCUCCAUCUUAUUUUAUUUUAUUAUUUAUUAUUUCUCUAAGUAAGUCGCCUUGGAAACUUUUGUUGAAAAGUGGUAUAUAAUUAUUUGUUGUAGUUCCUUUGUACCAGUAGGAAAGCUGUAGCUCACUCAAGUACAGCUGCUCGAGAGAAGUGCUGGGAUCACUCCUGAUCCCAGAGCUCCUCUGCCAGCUAGCCUGGGUUUGAAACCUCAGCUAAAAGUGAAGUAGGAGGAAGUGUCCCCUCUAACAGGGAUUCCCAGAUGUUGUUGACUACAACUCCCAGAAUCCCCAGCUACAAUGGGUUUUGCAUUGGGAUGCUGGAAGCUGUAGUCAACAACAUCUGGGAAUCCCUGUUAGAGGGAAAAUUGGUAGGAGGACAUGCACACACUUCCUACCUCACUGCCUUGUUGGUGGAAACUCAGGCUGCCAGCAGCCCGAGCUUCCAUGGACCUGGGGGGAAGGACGGGAAGAUAUCGUAAUGCACCAUGCAAGCAGUUUGGUGCAUUCUGGGAUAUCUGGUGGCUGGGCGACCUUCCCCACCACCUCCGGAUCACUGCACCACUUACCACAGCGCCUGUCACUGGGCAUGCAGCAUGAGCAAGCCCGGGAGUGGAAGGGCCGGGGUUAUGUGGGGGAAGGAAGGUAGAUUCCUGCCUCCCCUCCAUUGCCCUCCUCAGCCUCAGCAGUCAGCCUCAGAACAACCUCUCUGUCUUGGUGAUGGACAGGUUUUCCCUCGAUCUGAGCACAGGCUGUGUGUUAUCAGCAAACACCUCCAGCCAACAUCUGGAACAGCAGGUUCAACACAGUGCAAUAUCUGGGACUUAAGUACUACUUAUACAUAAGGUUUAAAAAGCGUCCCUUCAACUUUUUUUUUUUGCCUUUUUUGCAUAUAUUAUGAAGGGGUUUAAUGGGUGAUUUUUCUGUUAUAGGAACCGAGGAAGCUGCCCCACACUGAGUCAGGCCAUUGCUCCAUCCAGCCCAGCACUGCCCCCCAAGGUCCCUGGCAGGAGCCUCUCCGCCCCCAGCCUCACCUGGAGAUGCCCAAGAAGGAACUGAUCUUAUUUUGAUUCAGCUAGCUGUUUCAAGAGAAGCAACUCCCAUGAAUGGUCUACAACAUCUUGCAACAAUUAAUUCCACAACAGAAGUAUGCCUUGCAUGGAGAAAUACUUCCUUACAUCCACCCUGGAACAUGUUUCCGAAGGCGCCGGGUCCAGGCGUCCCGCCACUGGAUGACCAAGCUGUUCUUGUCGGCCAUGAGGCCCAGCCGCUCAGUGGGGUUUUCGCUGAUGCCCAUGACCAAGUAUUUCCUGCUGAUUUGGAUCUUGGGGCAUUUGCACGCCAGAUCUUUCAUGUGGAUCCACAAGAAGUUGUCACCACGCUUCACCCGCUCAUCUCUGCACUUGUAGACCGAGAGGAUGUUGACUGUGAACUUGGCCCAGUUGGCCACGGUCUCCAUGUCUAAGACGUUCACUUGGACAACUGAAGGAAAAAGGGCCAAGGCAAAUUUGGAGGAAGUGGAUUGUGGCCCUGGACCUGGUUCCUGGUCCAGGUGUAAACCUGGGUCUGUACUGCACUGCUUCAGACUGCAAAUGGAGACUCACGUGAUGGAACACUCCUCCAUACAAAAAAUUCCCUGCACCCAGACAAGACGACUAGCAUUUUAGGAAGACGACAAGUUGCCUUUGGCUGGCUUGCAGUAGGAAUCACAGUCUGCAAGGGAGAGAACAGAUGAGGUCAGAACAGCAACGUGGAAGCUUGCAGAGUGGCAACACGGUCACCAUCAGCAUCUAACUAGAUGUUAGGAGAGAAAUGUUCCCUUGUGAUACUAAUCUCCUGCACUCUUCUUACUGCGAGGAGAUCAUCAACGGAAGACUGACGCUUCUUUGAAGUUGAAUCAACAAGACUCUUCCUGAACUCUUGGAUCAUGAGAAAAUUACCAGAACUAGCUGACCCGGCGCAGAGCAUCUGCACCCCUCGUUCUCCCUGUCUCUCCCCCACCCAUCUUCAUUUUGUCCUCAGCCCCAGUCCUUUCUCCUUCUCCCAGCCCGCUUUCUCUCACCACCCUCUGGCAGUGCGUUUCCUCACCACCGGCCUGCCUGGCUGACUCUUUUCCUCUGUGCCAACCAGCCUGGCCACCGUUCACCUGUACCCGCUGCUAUCUGGCAGCUGAACUCUCAUGGGAUUAGCGAUGGGUACUCUCUCUCUACACACACACACACACCGACCGAAACGGAGGGGACUUCAGCAGAUAGUUAGCAGUUAAGCCAACUGGAUUUCAGUCGGCCGAGGUGCUCCUUCCUCUCCCUGGCUUUGCAGUCGAUCCACUCAGACAAGAUGGUUGCACCCAUCUGCCCAUCCCAUCUGCAUGGCUUGGAUGAAGCUCUUCUGGGAAAGUGGGCUUGUCCAACCCUCCUCCGCUUCUCUGCUAUGGCAACCCAAAAGGAGGCCAGGAACGCGUCGCUGCUCCUGCUGCCCACCCUGCGUUUCCUGACACGGUCACGCUCCCUCACCCACAAGCGGUGUAGACACCUGACUUCAAACAGCCUGUGAGUGUCUGGGUCUGAAGAGUCCAGGAUCUCGCCCCUGCCUUGGCACCCCCACCACAAGCUGUCCCCCUCAGUCCCCCUCCUGUGAACGUUAUUUUACCAAUAAAAGGAGAGAGAAGCAUCCCCUCUCCCGUUUCUUCCCCCUGU